AACGAACGCUGGCGGCAUGCCUAACACAUGCAAGUCGAACGAGACCUUCGGGUCUAGUGGCGCACGGGUGCGUAACGCGUGGGAACCUGCCCUUAGGUUCGGAAUAACUCCCCGAAAGGGGUGCUAAUACCGGAUAAUGUCUUCGGACCAAAGAUUUAUUGCCUUUGGAUGGGCCCGCGUUGGAUUAGCUAGUUGGUAGGGUAAAAGCCUACCAAGGCGACGAUCCAUAGCUGGUCUGAGAGGAUGAUCAGCCACACUGGGACUGAGACACGGCCCAGACUCCUACGGGAGGCAGCAGAGGGGAAUAUUGGACAAUGGGCGAAAGCCUGAUCCAGCAAUGCCGCGUGAGUGAUGAAGGCCUUAGGGUUGUAAAGCUCUUUUACCCGGGAUGAUAAUGACAGUACCGGGAGAAUAAGCUCCGGCUAACUCCGUG
Molecule: ribosomal RNA, 433 nt
Filed under: uncultured bacterium
Lineage: Bacteria
Description: partial 16S ribosomal RNA
Rfam family: Bacterial small subunit ribosomal RNA
Source: RNAcentral